UGUUGCUGUUAUGCCUGUUCGUGUGUUGGCAGGGGCAGGGUGUUGCCCCACCUGACGGUCAACAUCCACUCCCGCACUUGUUCCUGGUCUGCAAUCCACCACAGCAUUUAGGAGAGGACCUGACUUCCAGCCCCUGCAAGAUCACAAACCCGACAACUGCACGCACCUGUUUGCCCGCCCUGGACCUCGGAGCCACCCCGCACCUGGAUUCCAAGCCAACCCACAGCCACUCGGCCCACCCCCCAGCACCU
Molecule: long non-coding RNA, 251 nt
Organism: Esox lucius (northern pike)
Lineage: Eukaryota; Metazoa; Chordata; Actinopteri; Esociformes; Esocidae
Exons: 3
Source: RefSeq, a predicted model, not a curated record